AUAAAUCACAAUGCGGAACUAUGUAGUUUUGCAAUUGGAUUGAGAACAAUUUAGAAGAGUUAUCGAUAAACAAUUGGAGGGCAAGUCUGGUGCCAGCAGCCGCGGUAAUUCCAGCUCCAAUAGCGUAUAUUAACGUUGUUGCAGUUAAAAAGCUCGUAGUUGAAGUGUGGGGUAAUAUGAUAUUAAAACUCAUCUGAGUUUUAGUACUUAGUUACUCCCUCUCCAAUUUGUUAUUAUGGGUAUUAAUUUACUUGUAAUAAUGGUUGGUCAUUUACUGUGAGAAAAUUAGAGUGUUCAAAGCAGGCAUUUUGCUUGAAUAGAUUAGCAUGGAAUAAUAAUAAAAGGCUUUUAUGGUCGAUUUAAUUGGUUUGUUCAUGAAAGCAAGAUUAAAAGGGACAGUUGGGGGUAUUCAUAUUCAAUAGUUAGAGGUGAAAUUCUCGGAUUUAUGGAAGAUGAACAA
Molecule: ribosomal RNA, 460 nt
Filed under: Blastocystis sp.
Lineage: Eukaryota; Bigyra; Opalinata; Blastocystidae
Description: SSU rRNA
Rfam family: Eukaryotic small subunit ribosomal RNA
Source: RNAcentral